AAAAAAAAAAGCUGCUGCUGCAGAGGCACUGGAAUUAAAGCUAUCCAUCCAUCUGUGUAAAUACAAUUGGUAUUUCAGAAGUACAGCUGAUGGUGGGAUCCAUGAAGUCCGCAUCAGUGGAUUUAGUGCCAAAGGACUUGAGUCAAGCUGCCGAGGCAUCUGGCCUUUACUGCUUCCUGUGUUAUAUUGUAUUUUCCACCAAAAAAAAAGAAAAAUAGAACCAUGAUGAUUGCGUUGGAUUCCCCUCUGAUUGAGCCCUUAGAUGAAUAAAAUGUGAGGAAGUUCCCAUGUGGGUGUGAUGCUUAAGUUUCUCAGAGAAAGUCUGUUCUAAACGCUCGACUUGAGUUCUAUGAUUCAUGUCUCCUCGCUGGAAUGAAGAGUCGGAGUCACUUUGGCUGCGGGCUGAAGGUCGGAGCAGCCGAUCGGCACUCGGGGACAGGGUGUAGCGUUCGGCUUGCGGUGGGGUCGAGGUGAAAGGCCGCGCGGGGCCCCGUCGGAGCGGCCAGCUAUAGGCCUCGUAAUAAAAUACGUCAGAUUCAAUUACCUCUGCUGCUCCGCAGCCGCAGGACACCUUGUUUGGUCUUGACCACCUUCUAUCGAGUUAUUGAUUCCCCGCUCCUCCCCAGCGGCACCCGCGAUGCCAAUUAACCUCGUGGAUCGUCUCCAACUGAAAUGGGAGAAUGUGGGAUUCCGCUCAGUGCUUCGGGUGGCCUUCCUCUCGAUUCCUUGAAGAACAGAGGAGUGGAAGGAAGGGAGGGGAAAAAAGGACGCGGUGGAGAACACGAGCCGUUUGAAAAUGUGAUUCCCUGUGGAGAAUUGUAUGUUAUCCCUGUGAAAUAUUUAAAGAAACUCAUGUCCCACAAAUAUCCACGGCUGAAACGAUUGCACGGCAAAGGUGUUUUAAAAUGCAACAUGGAGGAAAUCAUCGAGUGGAGGAAACCCGGCUUCCGCACUAAUCCCCCCGACACCAGAGGAGCCAGAGAAUUACCUCCUCAGACGCCCAUUCAGACCGCCGGAGGGUCCCGCUGUGACCGCUAAUGCUAGGAAUGGGUGGGUUCUUUGGAUAAAGAGGGGCUCCCAUUCAGUUUCAUGCUCUGUCGUGGUCACAGCGACGAGGACUGAAGGUGGAGGUGGACACGGGCAAACUUCAAACCACUGCAAAUCUAAAAUGUAGGUAGAAAUAUGGACCUCUGUGUAGUUUCUAGCAACAAUGAUUAACUCAAUUGUUCUUCAUAAUGCCCACAAUGGUCUAUAUAUGUACGAUUAAUUUAAUAUAUAUCUUAUUUAAUCCUUCACACAGACACCAAUCAUGUGGAAUGUGGAGGGAGGACGUUUGGUUUCAUUUGAGCUCAAUGUCUUUUUUUGAACACAGCAAUUGUGUCUGUAACAUCUGACAUUUAUUUCGAUGUAUAUUGCAAAAGUAAACCGUUUUUUUUUAGUCUCAAUUGUUUUCUUCAGAUGCAUUUGUUCAUCCUUAAAAAAAAAAUCAUCUCACCAUCAAAAUGAAUGAAAAUAACAAAGUGCUUAGUUUGGUAAAAAGCGGAUAGCAACCACGCGGUUGUUUUUUUAUUAGCCACCGAUUUGUCUGCACAUUGUGUGGAUCAGAUGAGGCCUCAUCCGCCUGUGACCUCCAAUCAGCACGCCCUAUUCUGCAGACUGUGACAGUGACGGUUUCACCCGCCUUUCUCUCGGAGAUAACGGGCGCCGUAUCACAUGUCUGCGUUAUGUUUCCAAGUUGUUCACCGAGCUGAUUAUUAGGCUCUGAAAGACUCCGCGCUCAUCUGGAAAAUUGGACCGCAUUGGCUGAAAUGCAUGAAAUGAAAUCUCUGGCCUAAAAAAAAAGAAUUUCAAAAUGCUGAAAUCAAACCUGGACUGUGGAAGAGCCUCCAUUUGACUGCACAGCGCCGGAGUUGCACAUCAGACUCUCGGGUGUAAAAGGCUUGUUGUGCCUGUGUGUGAGCGCUGAUUGGCGCCUGCAAACUGUGAAUGCUUCCCCACUGAUGAGUGUUCUCCAAAGGGGAUCUUCAAAGGCCUGCCGGCGCCUCAAGAGCCUCCUCUUGUAAUUCCCCUGCACAGAGCGAAUUCUUCUCCUCUGAGUGCUUUCUUGUUUCCAAAUAUACAUGUUUGCCUCAGUGCAUCCCCGCUGGUAAUCAGCGAUGUGAAAAAGGUGCACGGCCGGGCAGGAGGGAGUUUAUUUAAUCAAAGGCAGUAGAUCGGUUUUUCACUGAAGGACACAUUUAUUGUGGGAUUCUAUUGUUUCCUUUUGUGUGGAGCAGCAUUUAGAUGUCACUAUUUUUCAGUUUUUCGUCCAAGACAAAUUGCACAUGAACAAUUCCUGAGCUGCUAUAAUCACAUCCAAAUUCCUAGACAGACCGUAACAAAGUACCUCCACCUUUUCAUUUUGUCCCAAUGUCUUACUGCUCAGAUUUAUUACCACUGUCAGUAAAGAUCGGUGCAUGUUGUAUUAAAAAUAUUGAAACCAGCAUGGCAAGUAAUACUGAUCCAGCACAUUUUCAAAAUUCCGUGUUUAUGAGGUCAUCUCAGAGUACCUGUUAUGGUACCUGUGCAUUUGAAAACUCAGAUAUUUGCAGCUGGAUAAAAUCAAAUUAAACAAACAUGGAUGCUCCAGGGCAGCAUUGGAGGUGAAUUAACCAUAGUUUAUGUCAUAGUGAUUGCAUGGUGAUGCAUUUUACACCGAUACGGUAAACACAACCAGAGCUGAGAGAUGGAUAAAUUCAACGUGAGAGCAGAACUGCAACAAACAAAUUCAAACAGCCAUGAAUGCACACGGGCAGCACUCGGGGUUUCCCUCCGACUUCCCACAUCACUCAGCGGUGGGUUUGAUGUUCUCUCUAUAAUCUUCCUCUCCAGGAAUCGGAAGAAGCAGUUUUUUGCAGCUCCGGUCUGAUGAAAUUAUUACCUAUCACCUACUAUUACCACAUGCUUUUUAACAAUGAGACGUGCGCAAUGAUGCAGAGAUUCAGAGAAAGUUUAUACAACUUUUUUUUUCCUGAGGUUAAAUUUCAAAGUGCACUUUGACUCAAAGGACGAGACGUUCCCUCAUCGUGCCACUUCCGUUCAAGGUAGUCGCGAGAGAAAUAACUCAUUCAUCUGCCUGUUCUUUUCCAUGAGCGUCUCUGAUCGUUGGUCGUUUGAGCUCGGUGAUGAAAGGUGGUGUGACUGAAGUGAGACAUUUUGUGGGGGCCCAGUGUGUAAUUGACGCGCCUGUGUUUUCAGGCCCGUUGGUGGCGCAGGUUGGAAAAUGUGGAGUAGAAAACGGUCUUUUUCUAAAGACAAUUGGGGAGCCUGUCGUCACAGGCGGUGCGUAGCGGGUACAAACACGCGGUGCACUGCACAGCCUACAUUCGACUCGGCCAAUCAGACUAAAUUGCGUUUCCAUUCUUUUGUGAAUUGAUUCUAAUUUCAGGGGAUGGAUGGAUGUUUUUUUUUCAGAAUUUACGAGCUUGCGUGUUUUAACGGCAGCACGCAGGUGCUUUACUAAACAGCAUGCGCAUGAUCAUGAAGUAUUUACGCUUCAACCACCUGGGAGGGUCUGCUGAUUGGUAAUUAUUACCCGAACACCCCCCGGGUUGUGUUUCAUCAGGUCCGCAUUAUACAUGUGGGUAAUUCUCUGCGGCUGAAAUCACUUGCAGGUUCAAGCUACUUCUGUUUUUCUUUCUGUCAUUUAAUACUCCUCAGAUCGACAUCUGCCGUUUAUGGCAGUUACUGAAACGGGCACCUGGCGUCUUCUAUCACGAGAGCCACGUCAACAGAUUGAAGGACUGGUAGCGCAUCAGUCGCUGUAUGCAGCUUGUGCAUGAAACGGUACCAAGCCGCUUGCCGUCGAUCUCAUUGUUCUCACCGUUCGUGCAUCGCCGGCGAUUGAACAGAGGGUUUGAGCAGGGAAACGCACCUCGCUGGUGACUGACGGCCCCUCUGAGCGGCGCUACGCCUCCUUCUCCUUUAGAGGCCUUUCACAUGAACGCAGAGGCCAUUGAGACUAUCGCGAUGUGACAAAUAAGUGCUGAGCUUCCUCCCGUGGAGUGUUAUUCAAAUGUGUAAAUGCAUUCAUAAUUACAUACUCGCUCACGUCACCCGUUUUGCACCAAAUGUAUUCAUUUGCCUGUCUAGAGACCUCAGACAGCGAGGGAAACGGGAACUCGCAUCAGACGAAUGAAAAGAGGAAAAACCCGAGAAAUGAUCGGCCAUAUUGAACUUUUUAUGUUUUAUUUAAUUAUUUACCCACUAAAACCACGUCACGUGCGUCAUGUGAAAUCAAAUUACCGACCUCGCUCUGAUGAACACUGUCCAUCUGGAAAGGGGUUUUCAGUCCGGGAAUCCGGCCGGUGAGCCUCCACAGCUGCUGCGCCACAUCAGCAUCUGCAUGCGGAACAGCUGCAGAUUAUUUCUUCUUUCUGUUUAAAAACUAACUAAAGUAGAUCCGCGGUGGAUUUGUCCGCCGGCACAUAAUGUACCUUUAAAGUGGUUGAGGAUGUAGAAAAAUUCGGUGUUUGAAGAUUGAUUAUGCUUUUAUAUCAUUCAUUUGGAUGAGUACGAGUUUUCUCUCUGCCCGCCCAUAAACAUCUUUUAUUUUUGCGGCAAAGCUCUGAAAGCCACGUUCCACGGUCGCUCAGCAACCGCCGCAAAUCUUUUAAUUACAACAAAACUUAAAGAAGGGACUUGAAGGCAUUUCAUGGCUGUGUCGCUUUAAAACGCCAUGAAAAUCAAUGAGUGUCCCGGUGCCCUGAAGACCGACUGUACUUUGUGAUAACACAAGCUGCUGAUAUGAGAUCUGUGUUAAGGAGGAAAAACAACGCUCCAUCUCUGCGCACUCAGGCAGCUGAAGGGAUUAUUCUGGGUCACGGGUUCAAACAGCUACUGUAGUUCUCGGCUGUUCUGCUGAGCUUCGCCCGGAGCCGUUGGUCAGCACGCUCGCUUUUCCUCCCGUUUCUUUUAUGUGUCUCUAACUUUCAUUUAUUUAUUCUGUAUACGGCUUCAUCUAUCUCUUCUAUCUGUGUCUCUGCCUCAAAGGGAAGGUGAUGCAAAGAGGUCUAAUGGAUGUAAAGGAAAGCGUAGGAGAGAGUCAGUGGAAAUGACUCUUCUGCGCCCACAGGCGGUUGCUGCGUGGGUUAAUGAAAGGCAUCUAGAUUUAAGAAACACAUAUUAAGACUCAAACACAGCUGGAUAACAUGCAUUUUCUUUCCACAAAUGUGUCUGUGCCGGUCUCUUCAGUCAUUGUUGGUAUCUUUGUUUAAUCAUUUUCCCCGGCCGGUCAGCUCUUAGCUCGUAGCUGUGAAGCUUCUGUGCAGGAAAUAUUUAGCGCGUGCAACGUUCACCGCCCCGACUGCCGCUGCAUUAGCAAGCCUGCCAUACAGGCUUGCUAAUGCAGCAGUUGUUAAGACAUUGCAGUCUGGAUUAUAGCGGUGGACAGACCUGCACUGCAUUGGUAGCAUAGCAGCGCAGCACAGCUAGAAUAGCGACGCAUUAAAAGACACUGACGAUAAAACAGCGCAGACAUUUGCAGCCCUGACUCCUGAAUCCGUGUAACUUUCUCCGAGCUCAACAUUUUGGGCUUCGGGAAGCUGUACCAACUCUUGAGCCUCUGUGGAAAGGAAUAUAAGACAGUUUAACGGUGUGUUGGAGGACUGAUGAUCUCCUAACAAUCGGCCUUCUACAGUCACAGUCCGCUUUAGGUUCUCGUCUUGUUCUUCCGUUGGAACUCAGGGUUGGAAAACAAGCAUCUUCAUCACCCCUGCUGCUCCCACACGCUGCUGUGAUUGAGACCUCCAUCACCCCGGAGAAGACGACUAAUUGACGGGAGACAGGGGGAGACAGACGAGGUCCAAUUAGCAUCACUGCACCAGCCCGACUCUCGGGAGCUCCAGGUGGUCCCGGGGAUCUGAUUGGAACACGGUUUGGAGAACUCAAAAGCCCUCAGUCAUUUUAUUGGAGAAGAAUGGUUUCCACGUAUGAUUUAUGGACUGAACGCCAUCACCUGCCAAUCAUUGCCCCGAUUACAAAUCCUGCACAGUGACAGUUUACUGCCGGAAUGUAGUAUAGAUCUUCUCUUAAGCUACAGUGAGCAUUUCCCCCGGCAUUCUUUAUAUCCAAACCAAAACAACAUUAUUGUGUGUGAUCAACCAUCCCGUCAAGGUUUUUGCAAAAGCAACACAAAGUGGCAAAGUGUCUAAUUCCACUGAAAUGGGAUUCCCCGAAAAGAAAAAGAAAUGUCGCCAAGAUAUUGUCAAUAAAUCUUUGAGAAUAAACGACAGAGAUCAUCAAAAAAGUAUCAGUGUCUCUCAAAGCCCGUUUGAAAGAGUAUUUCAUAAGUAAUCUUCAAAGAUUUAGAUAUGUGGUUUUUGGGGAGAAGAAGCUAAUGUCGAUUUUUGGUGAAGGAUCCGUGUGGAUCUCCGGCGACUAAUCAUUGCAUAAGAAAAGGACAAAGCGAGAUGAUGUAAUGAAAAGAAAAGUUUCAAGAGGUUCAGAACUCAUUUGAGUGCUGUUAACUCCACAACCUUUCUCUGCAAUUCCAUUGCACUUCAAAUUUAGUUCUUUUAAUCCAAGCAAAUAUUUGCAAUAAUAGUUUUUUUUUUCAAAAUGUGGUCUUAUUUUCUCCUUUUUUCGAGCACAGGUAAAAGGAAAUGACCCAACAGGUGGAUGCUUAGUGAUGAUUUAAGCACAACGUCCUUGUCAGGAAGACGUAUGAACUUUUUCUGUUGAGGACUGAUUGAUGGUGUCGUCAAACUUUCAAUAAAAUGACUAAAAUCUCACUGAGAUCUCGAAAUAUAUUGAACAAAUAAAUCUCCCAUAACCUGCCACUCCUCAAAGUGGAUUUUUGAGCAUCGAGAGCUUUCGGUCCGCUCCACUAAUGAACACCGCUGGUCCUGAAAGCGUCUGUUGUCACCAAACAAACUACAAAGCAUUUCCCAUUUUCCAAUUUGGAAAUGUGUGGGAGUCACUCAGCCGGCUGUUUUGUGCAGCGGCGGCUCAGAUUGAAAGAUCCUCUCACUUUGUAGCUUUGAUGUUUAAGUAUUACAAGUAGUGCCUUACUAAAGAUCAAAGCCCAAGGUCCAGAUCUCACGUCUUUCCUCGCUCUCAUCGUUCUCUGUGACAACAACUCAUAUUACUCAGACUUCAAGGUGCUUGAAGUACAUUUCGCUUUUUUUUUUCCAGCAGCAAAGAUUGUUCCCCUCUAUUUCUGUUCCCUCCGUUUUGUCUCUUUUCCCGCUUUGAAGUUCCAAAGGGAAGCAAACCGCUGCAGCAUUUUUUAAAAUUGGCCCUUGGUCAUUAUGCUCUUAAUCAUCUUCCCCAUCCAGCAUAUUCACGUCUUCCACAGAGGUUCUGCUGACCUCUCUGAAGUUGAUCUCUUCUCUUCUGAUCUCUAUUUUAACAGUAAAAUUGUCAUUGAAAGCGUCCCGUGUGCGUUUGUCCCUCUGUGACGUGAUUGAAUGACGGUGAAGAAGGACGAGAACACGUUUCUUCUCAGGACCCUGAGCCGGUGGGAAAGACCCCGCCGAGCCUCCAAAGAGGGGCCGAAACAACAGACAUGGCGCUCCUCCAGCAACCUGCUGGACGUGGUUGGCAGGAUGGACGCACAUAAAGGCGCGUCUUCACACAACCACCAUUGCUUGUGUGUAGUGUUGGUUUAGUUUUUAUACUUGGUUUACACACUCGUGUUAUUACAGUGAAGGAAGAGCGUCCGCCGGGUUUCAGCACAAGCAGCACGAGUGGCGUGUCCAGAUGAUCGAUGAAGGCAUCUGGCUUCAUCACAACGUUAAUUAUGAUCAUCAUGUAUCCGGAACCUGACAAAAAAACAUAAACAUUGUAAAAGUUAGAGAAGGUGAUGCUGCAGAAACUGAAUGAUUGAACAUUCAAAAAACAUUUUCUAAUUCAUUUAAUUACAGACUGAGCUCCAUGAGACAAAAAGGACAGAGUUUGUCCUUUUGUCUCUCAGCAUGUCUUUCUCAUAAAAACACACUUUGUUUUGCAUGGUUGUGACGCUCUUGUGUUGACGGAUCUCACAUAUGACACACACACAUACACACGUAUGUAAAUCCUGUUUGAGUAGUGAAAGUGCUUCUGGGUUCUGGGUUCCUGGUUGUGUCGACACACUCACACACUGACAAGCCUCAAACAUCAAGCUGCAAAGAAAUUUAGAGCCUUUCUUAUGUUCAACUUAAUUAUAACAAUGUGACUGAAUCACAAAAUCGUAUUAGUAAGUAAGUAAACUGCCCUGCCACACAUUUCUGUUACGGAUCAUUUCUCACUAAUAAACCACGACGGCGUCUCCAUUCUGUCUCUCGUGUCGCUUCCAGUUCAUUUUCAGGCGGAAACGUCCAUUUCUAAGGUGAUUGCUGUGUUUUAUUCAUACUUUAGUGACAUUAAGUAGCAGUUGCAGAAUGUAUCCCCCCAUAAUUCAUUAUUCCCUCACAGCUCGUGUCUCACAAACAGGCCAGAGAUUGUUUUUGUUGACGUUUGAAAGUGCUGAUCAAAGCAGCCAGACUUUUCCCUGUAAUAAGUAGAGAAAAUAACUACUACAGCUCCCACAGCAGGAGCUCCUUAUUGAUUUCCGUGGCUCGCGUUUCAGCCUCAUUACUCCGGGAGCGGCGUUGAAAACCCGAGCAGCGAACUUCAGGAGGAGAUCCCGCUGCCCACGUUUGCCAAAACCACCGGAGGAAAGUAGCAAACCCGCAAACCUAAUCGAGGGCCAAUCAGCUGCAAUUACAAAGGUUUUCUCUUCGGCCGCUGAGAAUGAGAAUGAGAGAAUGAGAAUGCCGCUGACGGGCAGGGGUCCGGCCCACCCGGGCCCACGCACAAUGUGUACACGUGGCGUUUUAACGCAGCUGCGCUGGGGGAGGACGCAGGAAAACAGAAGGAAACUGUGGAGGCCCAAAACCAAGUGGAACAGAUCCUCAUUGCCUUCUUUUCUCUGUCAGAGUCCCAUCGACGCUCACUUCCCUUCACUGGUCGAAAAAGGAAAAUGUUUGGUGUGUUUUGUGGGAAGAGCAACACCGGCGGGGUCAAAACACGUUGGGUUGCGUUCUGGGAAGCUCCGUUUUAAGCGGCGACAUCGGGCCCAUUGUCUGCCGGUGAAAACACGAUGUGUUCCUCUCAUCUCGUUCUACUCACAUUCACUCUACGAUGGAUCUGGUUUGUUGCAAAAGGCCUCCGCCGGAUAAGAAAUGGGCCGAUGACGGCCGCCACUGACUAACUCUCAAAUGCAGGACCGCUUUUUCAAAAAGUGCAUCCGUUAUAAUACUUUGCUGAUUUUGAAACUUUCGUUGUUAUUUCGCAGAGAAACCAGUAACAACUUUUCAGGAUUUCGGUCUCUUUCUCUCCGAGGCUGUUUAAGGUGCAGGGAGCGCUGAAACUUUAAUGAAUGCAUGCUAUAACAAGCUGCUCGGUUGUUAUCUGGUUGAGCGAAGCCGUCGGUGGUGAGAGCAGGUGAGGUGAAGAGGUGGAGAGGUCGACCUCACACCAUCUGCUUUAAUGCGAGCCUGUGAGCUCCGCGGACGGUCAGGACCUCCUCUGGAAAAACAGCCCGGAGCAGCAAACGGAAUCUGGGAGACGACAACGCCGCCUCGCCACCAACACACACACACACACACACACACACACACACACACACACAACCAACAAAGAAACACAAGCGCGCGGGCGAGGCAGCCCUCGCUCCUCGGAGAGACGUGCGCACGGGAAGUAAACAGCGGUGGGGUUUCGAUGGAACGAAAGGUCAGCCGAGCUUACGUGUCCGUGAGCCACGCGAC
Gasterosteus aculeatus aculeatus (three-spined stickleback) is the source of this 9767-nucleotide long non-coding RNA. Lineage: Eukaryota; Metazoa; Chordata; Actinopteri; Perciformes; Gasterosteidae. The record is from Ensembl.